AUGAGGGUCCUUAAAUUGGAAGAGAAAGUGAGAAGAAGUGAUCAGAGUGGUGUGAUGCGAGAAGAUCUCUGUUCAGGGUUUCUGGCUUUGAACAUUGAAAAAGUGACCACAAGCCAUGAACGCUCCCUCUCCCAACCUGUGCUGACUCAGCCACCCUCUGCAUCAGCCUCCCUGGGACAAACAGUCAAACUCACCUGCACCCUCAGCAGUGGCUACAAUAAUUAUGCAGUGAACUGGUACCAGCAAAGCCCAGGGAAGAGUCCCCGGUUUGUGAUGCGAGUGGGCACUAGUGGCAUUGUGGGAUCCAAGGGGGAUGGGAUUCCUGAUCGCUUCUCAGGCUCAGGCUCUGGCCUGGAUCGGUACCUGACCAUCCAGAACAUCCAGGAACAGGAUGAGAGUGUCUACCACUGUGGGGCAAACCAUGGGAUUGGGAGCAACUACAUGUAG
This is a non-coding RNA of Sciurus carolinensis (gray squirrel), 447 nucleotides long. NCBI's taxonomy places the organism in Eukaryota, Metazoa, Chordata, Mammalia, Rodentia, Sciuridae. The record is from the annotation of a RefSeq genome assembly.